GAGUUCGCGGGCUCGCGGCCCCACCCCGCCCACCCCGCCCACCGCGAGCAACGCCGCCACUCGUCCUUUUUGCUCCCCGCGGAACAUCUCAACGCUCAUUCUCGAUUCUCGAAGGUUCGCGGGGAGGGACGGGUGACAGAGUACAGAGUUCGCCGCCGGGCAGUAGGUAUACUGCAGCGCAGUGCGAGGCCGAGUCUACGGGAGGCAUCGACGAUCGCCCUGUACCUGUAGGCAAACAAUGGGAGAAGAGAGCAACACUUGGCGCCGUGUGCAUCGGAUGACCGUUAUUUUUGCAACCGCCAACCAAUCUACCUGUCGCAAAUUCCAACAUGGCGGUCAUCGGCGGCUCAAGUGCAGUACCUCUGCGGGAUAUCAGGAGAUGAUGCGACUCCUGGUGCGAUUGCAGUGAAAGGGGAGAGCGACGCAAUUUAUAACUAUUUCAGUCAAACUUCAUUGAAAAUGCUUACAAUUUCACACAUGCUACCAAUCGUCAUAUUUUGCCUUUUUCAACGCAAUUUCGUUGUUGCUCACAACACCUGCGAAUGAACAAAUAACUUGGACCUGAAAUGUGGGACCUUAUUCGGCUAGGCUAUACUGGAAGACGGACCCGAUGCCCUCUUAGGGGUAGAGAUUGUUGGCUUAACCAACAAGGUGUGUGUCUUCAAAAAAGGCAACGCCGGAGAUGUCUUCCCCUGAAGAACUAUGUUUAUCAUACGCCACUCACAUAACACAUAGGUGGUAGAAGUCUCCACUUACUACAGUCUAUACCAAGAGACGGACCCGAUGCCCUCUUAGGGGCAGAGAGUGUUGGCUUAACCAACAUGGUGUGUGUCUGAAAAAUGACAACGCCGGAGAUGUCUCCUAGGAAAGGAAUGUAUAGAUCAAGCACUACUGAUCCAUACAGAGGUGGAGAAAGGCCCCGUUUUUGAAGAAAGACGAAAUGAAGAUUUUAUUAUUUGUUGGAAAUUCUAUGUGAUUGGAAUGUAAAAUUACUUCGUAUAAUUCUUGCUGUCAUCAAUAAUCAAAAAUUUGAUGAUUACAAAACAUUAUAAUUGAUUAAUUUCAUAGUUGCACUUUGAUGAUAUGAAUUCACUAUUUAUGUGAGUUAUUUUGUUUUAUUUAUUUUAUUUUAUUUAUCAUUAUUUAAAUUCCGUGAUAUUUUUUACUUUAUUAACAUCUUUAAUUCAUUUAAAAAUUAGUAGUAAACACGUUAACUAUAGAUAAAUCAAUAAUUAGAUACUAGAAUCUGCCUUUUUGUACAUGUAUGACAGCAUCAUUGCAAGCACAGGGUACAACAAAACUAAUAUUUGAGACCGCGUAUCUCAUGCACAUACUCAUGCGAGUGCAAUUGUACGAAAAGUCUUGUGAGCGGGCUCGAGUUCCUUGAGAAAUUAAUUCUAUUGAGUACAAGGGCAAUAUUUCAUGGCGGAGCAUAACAGUAGCAUUGGUAUAGGCACAGCUCCGAAAAGUUGUUAAAUAUCGUUUGACGUAGUGGUGAUUUACUUUUAAAGCGUGCUAUCGUUAAACAGGUCGAGCGAUCCGAUACAUUAUUACGCGCGUUCACGUGCAUACAGUCACCGAUAUAUAUAGCCACAUAGGCAUUCGCAUACUCGUUUUCUGCAUAAGCAAAGUACCUAAUUUAUGACUCUCGGGUUCCCAAAACUAUAAUCGCAUACACCAAGGGUUAACCAGUAAGGCUUUUUCUCGAAAACUUACGUGCGUUUGCACGCGUUGUCGACUUGCCGAGAUCAUUUCUUUUCGUUCAAUCAAUCAUAUUCAUCUUUAUUUUCAAAUGUAUGCACGUUCGCGAAUUAUGGCAACGCAUGCAGGAUGCUUUGGUCUUGUAAAAUAUGGACUAAGAUGUUGGGCGAGUUUUUUUGCUACAUUGUAUGGAGAACAGUGUGCAAUGCACGUAUGGGCGAAUUUCGUGGUCGUGUUUGUGAAGCCGAGUCAUAAAUUCAGGCGUAAGGUACAAAUACGCAUGCAGGUUUUUUUGGUCGUUGAUUAUUCUUUCGACGUGGCCAUCCUCAAAAUAUGCCGAGUCCGUGCACGACUUAAUAAUUGUGACAUUUAUUGAAUUAAAUUGUCAUAAUUAUUUAUGGGUUUUUAUAGGGAGAAAAGCAUCUCGCCUGAUAUUUAUUUUUUGGACGUCGAACGUGUUUGCUUGAGGCCCCUGAGACCAUGUGAACUGUAAAAAUAACAAGAAUUAUCAUAAGCCAUGCAUUGUUUGCGAAAAACUGCAACAUGCUGAUACAUUUUAAAUGUUUUCCACUAGCUUUAAAAGGUAAUUACCACGUAAUUUUGUUUCGAGACAACGUGAAAAGUGCAAAGUGUCGGCUCCGCAUUAAGAUCGGUAUCUGCGUCUUUGGCUCGCGCUGUACAGCUCUGGUCAUCUUCUAUAUACUUAGCUCUUUUCAGCACGAAGCCUCGAAGGCAACAAGAAGAUAAUGCGGUGUCUUUCUUCUUUUCGCGCGCAGCUCUCGCACUAUCCUCUACAUUUAAACGACUGUUCGGCUGUCUAUAUUAUAGUCAUCGCAUGCGCUUUUGCUCGAAAAAGGCAAUUCACGGGCACACGCUCUGUUUUCUCCCACCGGGCGAGCUGCGCGUGUGCCUCAGCGACGGCAGGUGGGCCCCGUCUUUCUGCGUGUUGUUGCCAGAUCCGCAGUGAUGAAUACGAGUUCGUGAUGCGAAGUGGGAACGUAGAAAUUCGUCAUUCUUUAUUUUUGGUUCUUUGAGUCGAGUUUCUUACAGUUUAGUAUGAAAAUUAAAUUAAUAAAAAGUUCAAAUCAAUAGUUAAAAUGUAAUACUGACACAAACAAAAGACGGGUUGCAAUCCGAUUAUUUGGCCUGUCUCCAUUAGCGUUCCAAUCUUCGCGCGAGAUUGUUAUAAUGUGCAUUUCCGCUGUCGGCUUAUUGUCAGUUAGUAUACGUGCGAUUAUUAGCCGUGAUUAGUCAAUUGACCAAAGUGUCAGCGGAAAAGAUUGACAAGGAGCCCGCAGUGAACUCGCUCUACCGUGAGCCGUGACGGAGUUUAUAUGGCAGGCUGAUUUAAUCGAAUCAAGUAGCAUCACUUUGAAGAGCUUAUCAUUAAAGAACAUUUAGUAAAGAUUUUAUUCGGGAUUCAGACAUCGUAGCUACGUUGUAACGAGGAUGGGGUCUGUAGAAUGUAGCUGGGCGAGCGAAACUACUUAAAUAGGAUGAUUACUUUUUUUUAUUCGAUGGAUUAGGUAAAUAGUUAAACUGAUACUCUUGAGAAAUAUGCUUCAAUGUGAUGGCGAGUGUAUAAGGCACUUUAGGAGGCGAAAAAUGACUGAAUGAAAAAAGACGUAGAGGUGUUCGAUUGGUCUUCUGUUCGAUUGGUGGGAUCCCAGGUAGGAUCUCAGUUAAACGAGUUUAUCCGGGAGUCUCCAGGGGGUCCUCCGAACGCGAAACGACCACGACUGGAGAACGGGAUUCGAAUGAGAAAUCGGCAUCGCGCCAACCAGUCACGUGAGAAAGGGAAAAUAUGCGUGUUGGGAUCGCAUGCUUCGCUAACUUCAAAGGGUUUAGUUUUUUACAAAAAAUAUUAUUGCGUACUAUUUAAACGGGAGACUUGAGUUUUAUUCCUCGUAUUGCAAAAAAUGUUAAGACAUUUGCAUUUUUCAAAUACCGUACAAGAAAUAUUAGAAAAUGUUCGUGACUUACGAGCAUGGAGAUCUUAAAAAAUUCAUGAAUAUUAUUUAUAUUAAUGAGUUUAAAGCGGGCUGAUUCUUUAAUAGCUCAAUAAAUUAGAUUUAAAUUGAUUUAAAAUUAACUCAUUACUCGCUUCUCUUAAGACAUGCAAUAUGCUCACGUGAUAACUAUACUUUCUCGUUUAAAUCAUACAUAAUUGUUGUGCACAUUUUUAAUUGUGUUGUAAUGUCACGCACAUGAAAUAUAGAAUGUUUAGACGCGAGUCGCACCUUGUCACGGGUAUUCAGAUAUUACGUUCUGAAAAACGGCUACCGAUUUUUAACGCUUAUAUUAUUUUUUUGCUUUGAGAUAUAAGAGCUUGUCAGUGCGAAGUCACUUUGCACUCCCGUCCCCUCAUGGUCGCAGAUAUUAUGUAAUCGAUAGUGAGCAAACGAUGCAAAUUUCUUGCAUCUUUUCGUAUAGGUUUAAUUCCAUCUUGUCAGCUCGAGGACGUCGGCUAAGGAAAAAGAGACCGAUCCCGCAGUUUCGACGACGCGUACGCCUUAUACACUUAUCAUAAAAAAGCAAAGGGGGAAAAAGAAAUGCAGCUCAAUUGGGGUUGCAGUUAUUUGGAUACGCGGCUCAUUCAUCAUACGCAAGCCACUUUUUAUACAACCGAAAGAAUACUUCCUGUACAGACAUUUCGUUAAACAGAGAACGUGUAUUAUAAUGUUAUGCAACAUCUCUUCCUAUUUAUAUCCAGUUUAUUGUUAACAGAAGUAGCGAGGGUCUUUUUUGUCGAAUAAUUUUUCUCUUGGAUCCGUUACACUUGCCGCACACGUGGCCGACGUCACAAAAACUCGACUUGCUUCCUAUUUGUAAUAGGGUGCGGCGAGUGUGGCCAGUAUGGCUUGAGCGCCUGUCGCCAUCUACAGGCUGCCAACUCGCCAAAAAUCGCCACAUUAUACUUGUACAACCAAUGAAAUCGCUACAACCUAUUAAGUACGCCUAGCUUGGCGCGAAUGUUCAAAUAUUCGAA
Molecule: long non-coding RNA, 4690 nt
Organism: Nasonia vitripennis (jewel wasp)
Lineage: Eukaryota; Metazoa; Arthropoda; Insecta; Hymenoptera; Pteromalidae
Exons: 5
Source: RefSeq, a predicted model, not a curated record